RNAcentral lists this ribosomal RNA (469 nucleotides) under uncultured bacterium. RNAcentral's name for it is "bacterial SSU rRNA". It matches the Rfam family "Bacterial small subunit ribosomal RNA", at positions 328 to 794 of the family's 1533-position model. The record is from RNAcentral.
UGCCCAGACUCCUACGGGAGGCAGCAGUGAGGAAUAUUGGUCAAUGGCCGAGAGGCUGAACCAGCCAAGUCGCGUGAGGGAAGACGGCCCUACGGGUUGUAAACCUCUUUUGUCGGGGAGCAAAGAGAGUCACGUGUGACUCAUUGAGAGUACCCGAAGAAAAAGCAUCGGCUAACUCCGUGCCAGCAGCCGCGGUAAUACGGAGGAUGCGAGCGUUAUCCGGAUUUAUUGGGUUUAAAGGGAGCGUAGGUGGAUUGUUAAGUCAGUUGUGAAAGUUUGCGGCUCAACCGUAAAAUUGCAGUUGAAACUGGCAGUCUUGAGUACAGUAGAGGUGGGCGGAAUUCGUGGUGUAGCGGUGAAAUGCUUAGAUAUCACGAAGAACUCCGAUUGCGAAGGCAGCUCACUGGACUGCAACUGACACUGAGGCUCGAAAGUGUGGGUAUCAAACAGGAUUAGAUACCCGUGUAUA